Molecule: ribosomal RNA, 492 nt
Filed under: uncultured bacterium
Lineage: Bacteria
Description: partial 16S ribosomal RNA
Rfam family: Bacterial small subunit ribosomal RNA
Source: RNAcentral
AGUGAACGCUGGCGGUAGGCCUAACACAUGCAAGUCGAACGGCAGCACAGUAAGAGCUUGCUCUUACGGGUGGCGAGUGGCGGACGGGUGAGGAAUACAUCGGAAUCUACUUUUUCGUGGGGGAUAACGUAGGGAAACUUACGCUAAUACCGCAUACGACCUACGGGUGAAAGCAGGGGAUCUUCGGACCUUGCGCGAUUGAAUGAGCCGAUGUCGGAUUAGCUAGUUGGCGGGGUAAAGGCCCACCAAGGCGACGAUCCGUAGCUGGUCUGAGAGGAUGAUCAGCCACACUGGAACUGAGACACGGUCCAGACUCCUACGGGAGGCAGCAGUGGGGAAUAUUGGACAAUGGGCGCAAGCCUGAUCUAGCCAUACCGCGUGGGUGAAGAAGGCCUUCGGGUUGUAAAGCCCUUUUGUUGGGAAAGAAGAGCAGCAGGUUAAUACCCCGCUGUUCUGACGGUACCCAAAGAAUAAGCACCGGCUAACUUCGUG